This 383-nucleotide ribosomal RNA is filed under the name uncultured bacterium. RNAcentral describes it as "bacterial SSU rRNA". It matches the Rfam family "Bacterial small subunit ribosomal RNA", at positions 28 to 416 of the family's 1533-position model. The record is from RNAcentral.
GAUGAACGCUGGCGGCGUGCUUAACACAUGCAAGUCGAACGAUCGCAAGAUAGUGGCGCACGGGUGAGGAACACGUAGCUAACCUGCCUUCGGGUCUGGGAUAACGUCGCGAAAGCGACGCUAAGACCGGAUAAGCUCACAAGUUGUAGAGGCUGGUGAGAAAAGGGGCAAGACGCCCGAAGAGGGGGCGUGCGGCGCAUCAGCUAGUUGGUGGGGUAACGGGCUCACCAAGGCAACGACGCGUAAGGGGUCGUGAGAGGAUGAUCCCUCACACUGGGACUGAGACACGGCCCAGACUCCUACGGGAGGCGAGCAGUGAGGAAUAAUUGCACCAAAUGGGGGGCGAACCCUGAUGCAGCGACGCCGCGUGGGUGAUGAAGGCC